RNAcentral lists this ribosomal RNA (253 nucleotides) under uncultured bacterium. RNAcentral describes it as "partial 16S ribosomal RNA". It matches the Rfam family "Bacterial small subunit ribosomal RNA", at positions 524 to 776 of the family's 1533-position model. The record is from RNAcentral.
UACGUAGGGUGCAAGCGUUAAUCGGAAUUACUGGGCGUAAAGCGUGCGCAGGCGGUUUUGUAAGUCUGUCGGGAAAGCCCCGGGCUUAACCUGGGAAUUGCGAUGGAGACUGCAAGGCUUGAAUCUGGCAGAGGGGGGUAGAAUUCCACGUGUAGCAGUGAAAUGCGUAGAGAUGUGGAGGAACACCGAUGGCGAAGGCAGCCCCCUGGGUCAAGAUUGACGCUCAUGCACGAAAGCGUGGGGAGCAAACAGG